Molecule: long non-coding RNA, 2375 nt
Filed under: Homo sapiens (human)
Lineage: Eukaryota; Metazoa; Chordata; Mammalia; Primates; Hominidae
Description: HSALNT0373780
Source: RNAcentral
UGUAACACUCACCACGAGGGUCCGCAGCUUCAUUCUUAAAGUCAGCGAGACCAAGAACCCACCAAUUCCGGACACGCAAGUAUUCGUAACGUUCUUCUGUUCCAAGAAAAAUGGUCUUCUUACUUCCUUGAUGGCUCACAACAUGCUCCUUUCUACUGCAGGAACACUGUAUAACUUCUGUCAAGCAUGAACUCCCCACCUCUGUUUGACAUACUUCUCUACUUUCAGAACUCAGCUGAACUAUCGCUUCUCAAGGGAGCACUCAAACUUCCUGAACAGAACCACCUUAGAUAUUGCUGGCCAGCUCAUGAAUUGUGGCUUGUGGUCCAGCUAAUCUUUCCUAGUCUAUUCAGCUAUGGCCAGAGAAGAUGUGCUUAACUUGUGGAGCCUUACUGUUUCUCUAAGGACAUUCUUCUACAUAAUGUUGCGUCAGUAGAAUAAUUUUCUCACCAAGUGAUAGCUAGGUAGGUCAGUAAAUCCUCUCCUACACCGUAGUUAUUUGCUUUAAGCCAACUUGAAGUGAACUUCUGUCUCUUCUUUAAUCUGAGAAUCUUACGUCUUCAAGCCCUGUUCACACCGCUUGUCCCAUUAGAAUAAACCUUAUUUAAGGGCAGAAGAUAAUCAUGUUUUACGGUUACACAUUUUACAGCCUCAUUUCCAUUAACUCUGGAAUUAUUUCACUGAUAAGAACUAUCAGAAGAGAUAUAGGCAUAGGCAUGAAAUUUAUAAGCCUCCUCCAAAUCAUGAUUCCUGUGAAUGGCUGCAGCUCACUGUUGCAUUGGUUGGUACAUACUGUCACCAUGAUAAAAUAGUUAUAAUCGUGUUGUCUUAAUUUAAAAGAUAGCAGUCAAAAAGGUGAGAUUUCCAGAGGAAAUAAAAUAAAAUGAGGAUAAUAGAGAGAAAGAAGAUGGGAUACUGUACCAUUUAGUGCAGUAAUGAUGAAGGAUGAUAGAUAAUAUGUAAUGCUUGUACUAGGAAUGUGAAUUGUAUUUUUAAAAGCAUUUGUUUCUCACCCUAGUAUCCCAGUAACUCGCAAAUGAACACCUUGGUGUUAAAUAAUCUGAGUGCUUGGAAGAAUAGAUUGUUUCCAUCCCAAUUUCACUUUAACAAGACUUAUUAGGUAGCAUGAGAGAGUAAUGAAGAGGAUGGUUACAUAGAAAAAUGCCUUUAAGUAUAAUUUCAAUGUUGAUGUCCUGAGUGGAUCCAGCUUAUCAGUUAAUACUGUCUUUUGUUUCCAAAGUGUGCAUGCUGCCAAAAGUCUACUAGAGUACUAGUUGUCUAUAGAUCUAAAUUUGAUUGUGGGGAAGUAAUAACAUGACCUAAUCAUAUGAAACAUUUCUCAGUUCAUUGUUCAAAACAUAGCAGUUUUAACUGCUAAGGCUUUGGAAUUCAUCUCAGCUUUUUGUCUAAAAAUACACAGUGUGAUCAAGAUUCUUUGAAAGAUUAUUCAGCAUUACCAGGCAAAGACUAAAAUCACUGCAUUUGAUUAUGAUGGGCACAGUCACCCACCUUAAGUCAUUCACAUUACUUUCUGAGUCCUUUAGUAGAAUCAAAAUCCAUCAUUAAGUACGCUCUCCCCCAGCACAGGGCAGUAUCCAAUCUCAUUUUACAUUCAUAUAAAAAUACUCUAACAAAUCUUAAGGUCUUUGAAGAUCAUUGGAGAUUUAUUUUGUGGGUAAGAAAACUGAAGACUAUGAAAUGCAAAUAAUUAUUUAGCUUCUUAUUAGCUGAUUGUAAAACUAGGAAACAUUACAUUGUCAGCCCACUCUGAUCUUAAAAUUUCAUAUGGGAUUGAGUGUCAAGUCCUGUUAAAAUGAAGCCUUCACAAGGCAGGGGAUGUGUUUGUGUGUAUAUAUGCAUAUCUGCCUAUGUAUAUGUGUGUUUCUGUGCUGUACCACACAUGCUUGGACAAUGCCUGGCAUAGAAAUGCUUAAUAAAUAUUGGUUCAAUGACUGUAUGAAAGUUGAUAUUCAAGGUAAAAACAUUUUUAUGUGUGAUAUCAAAAUUGAGGUUUGCUUAUUUGAAAAAAUUGUUGAGAUUAAUUUUCUUUUUGUUAUUAUAUUGUGGCAAUUCCUGCAUCGCUGUUCUGAAAGAGCUUUAAAAAUGUUGUAUCAUUAAAUUAUGGUGUUGCAAAUAUUCUUAAAAACAAAACUGUUAAAUAUUUAUAUGUCUAUUACAAUAUUACUUAUUGCUGAAAAGAGAAAAUUCUUGUGGAGCAAAUUUGGACAAAGACUAGAAAUAUUCUCGAUAGGAGUAAGGUGACAUAACUAUCUAAAAGAAAUUAAAUGUUGCAAUUACAGAUUCCCAGCAUGCAUUUACGUGCAUUAAAGGAACAUUUAUCAUUAAUACAUUAUCAGCAGGUCUUUUUCUUAAAC